UACAGAGGGGGCAAGCGUUGUUCGGAAUUACUGGGCGUAAAGGGCGCGUAGGCGGCCUGUUAAGUCGGACGUGAAAUCCCUCGGCUCAACCGGGGAACUGCGUCCGAUACUGGCGGGCUUGAAUUCGGGAGAGGGAUGUGGAAUUCCAGGUGUAGCGGUGAAAUGCGUAGAUAUCUGGAGGAACACCGGUGGCGAAGGCGGCAUCCUGGACCGGCAUUGACGCUGAGGCGCGAAAGCCAGGGGAGCAAACGGG
This 253-nucleotide ribosomal RNA is filed under the name uncultured bacterium. RNAcentral's name for it is "partial 16S ribosomal RNA". It matches the Rfam family "Bacterial small subunit ribosomal RNA", at positions 524 to 776 of the family's 1533-position model. The record is from RNAcentral.